AACGCGAAGAACCUUACCUGGGUUUGACAUGCAUCUCUAAGUCGGUGAAAGCCGAUGAGUGUAGCAAUACACAAUUUGCACAGGUGCUGCAUGGCUGUCGUCAGCUCGUGUCGUGAGAUGUUCGGUUAAGUCCGGCAACGAGCGCAACCCUCGUCCUUAGUUGCCAGCGGGUAAAGCCGGGGACUCUAGGGAGACAAACCUCUUUAUAGAGGUGGGAAGGUGGGGACGACGUCAAGUCAGUAUGGCCCUUACACCCAGGGCUGCACACGUGCUACAAUGCCUGGUACAGAGGGACGCAAAACCGCGAGGUGGAGCAAAUCCUCAAAACCAGGCCCAGUUCAGAUUGGAGUCUGCAACUCGACUCCAUGAAGCCGGAAUCGCUAGUAAAGGCGUAUCAGCAACGGCGCCUUGAAUACGUUCCCGGGCCUUGUACACACCGCUAGUC
Molecule: ribosomal RNA, 445 nt
Filed under: uncultured bacterium
Lineage: Bacteria
Description: bacterial SSU rRNA
Rfam family: Bacterial small subunit ribosomal RNA
Source: RNAcentral